GCAUCGGUUUAGCUCGACGGUUUCAUCUUACCCUAAAGUUUCCGAUCUUCGGACCGCGGGCCGUGGGUUCCGACCGUGGGCGCUGUCCGAUGUUUUU
Molecule: vault RNA, 97 nt
Filed under: Sphaeramia orbicularis (orbiculate cardinalfish)
Lineage: Eukaryota; Metazoa; Chordata; Actinopteri; Kurtiformes; Apogonidae
Description: Vault RNA (ENSSORG00005003448.1)
Rfam family: Vault RNA
About the family: This family of RNAs are found as part of the enigmatic vault ribonucleoprotein complex.
Source: Rfam by way of RNAcentral